ACUCCUACGGGAGGCAGCAGUAGGGAAUCUUCCACAAUGGGCGCAAGCCUGAUGGAGCAACACCGCGUGAGUGAAGAAGGGUUUCGGCUCGUAAAGCUCUGUUGUUAAAGAAGAACACGUAUGAGAGUAACUGUUCAUACGUUGACGGUAUUUAACCAGAAAGUCACGGCUAACUACGUGCCAGCAGCCGCGGUAAUACGUAGGUGGCAAGCGUUAUCCGGAUUUAUUGGGCGUAAAGAGAGUGCAGGCGGUUUUCUAAGUCUGAUGUGAAAGCCUUCGGCUUAACCGGAGAAGUGCAUCGGAAACUGGAUAACUUGAGUGCAGAAGAGGGUAGUGGAACUCCAUGUGUAGCGGUGGAAUGCGUAGAUAUAUGGAAGAACACCAGUGGCGAAGGCGGCUGUCUGGUCUGUAACUGACGCUGAGGCUCGAAAGUAUGGGUAGCAAACAGGAUUAGAUACCCUGGUAGGCAACCG
RNAcentral lists this ribosomal RNA (473 nucleotides) under uncultured bacterium. RNAcentral describes it as "bacterial SSU rRNA". It matches the Rfam family "Bacterial small subunit ribosomal RNA", at positions 335 to 802 of the family's 1533-position model. The record is from RNAcentral.